UUACCUACAUUAGGGGUAAUCACAGGGGUCAACCUUGCCGCAGUGCAAUGGCANGGCCUCGCCCUGGGGGAACCGCCUUCUUG
RNAcentral lists this small nuclear RNA (83 nucleotides) under Tineola bisselliella. RNAcentral describes it as "partial U1". The record is from RNAcentral. Lineage: Eukaryota; Metazoa; Arthropoda; Insecta; Lepidoptera; Tineidae.